This 359-nucleotide unclassified non-coding RNA is filed under the name uncultured fungus. Its description in RNAcentral is "sequence contains ITS1". Lineage: Eukaryota; Fungi. The record is from RNAcentral.
GUAUAGGUUUAAUGACUGCGCGCGAGCGACAAUCUUUAAAAGACAUUCUGUAACUUUAUAGUGUAUAUGAAAACAUAGCCAUUUGAAAGAAAAGUAAGCAGGGGAAGAAUAACCAAUCCCCCCAACCGCAUUGCUGCGAGGGGUUCUCACUUUUUUCAAAGCAAGCAGGGGAAGGGCGGGUGAGGCCCAGUCCCCCCAACCGCAUUUCUGCGAGGGGUUUACUUUUCUUUCAAAGACUACAAGAGGUGCACAAGAGAAGAUAAAUAGAUUUCGGAGCGAGCACAUGCCCCGGUGAAGGGCCAGCAUCAGAACCGAUUUCGUAUUCAAUAAUGAUCCUUCCGCAGGUUCACCUACGGAAA